Non-coding RNA from Peromyscus maniculatus bairdii (prairie deer mouse), 220 nucleotides. The record is from RefSeq and is a predicted model, not a curated record. NCBI's taxonomy places the organism in Eukaryota, Metazoa, Chordata, Mammalia, Rodentia, Cricetidae.
CAGAUCUCUGACUUCCUAGUUUGCUGUGGGAUGUCUUUCUGUAUAUUGUGAAUAUGUGUGGCUCCUAUUGGAUAAUAAAUAAAGCUGUUUUGGCCAACGGCAAGAAAGCUUACAUCCAGGUGGUAAAUCCAAGCAGAGAUACAGAGAGAAGGGCGGAGUUGAGAGAGACAUGAGCCACUGCCAAAGAAGCAACAAGUCAGCAGACCAGUAAUACCACAUC